AAAAUGCUACUAAAAUGACAGCAAAGAAGCCAAAAAGGCCCAAGUCCACAAGACAGAAAGAAUAGGUGAAAAGUCCAUGUCAUCUCAUUUUUGGAGAUGGACAUGGACAGGGGCUGAAACUGCAGUACCAGCAGAUGGGGAGCUUAAGAAGGAAGCUAGUUCAUGGCACAGCACCCGUAAAGUCCCCAGAAUUGGAGGCACCAGAUUCUUCUGAAAGAAAAGGAGCAAUUCAGCACUUGUCAUGCAGAUAAGAGGUCAACACCCCAGGACGGAGUGAAAACCUAAGGAUUCACAAACCCACCCUUGUGCGAAUCCAGCCGUCUGUGUUCUAGACUGGCAAGGACCAUAUCUGAUUCUGAGAUGCUCAGGAAGGUGUGCUCCCAAUUGGCCCUUGUCCAGACUAGUUUACUUGCUGAGUAUCCCCAGGGCACAGGAACAAUCAUUUGGGGUUGCGGCUUUGUUCAUAGGGUCAUCAAGACAGGAGGAUAUGAGGCAGAAUCACCACACAAGCUAACCUGAUGUACAUAUGACAUUAAUCCAAUAGACUUAGGAAUAAGAUACAGGGGGUUUUCCUGAAUGAUUCGAGUAUAUCCCCAUUCAUAUUAAGAAAACAAAGUAUUGGCCAAGCGUGGUGGCUCACGCCUGUAAUCCCGGCACUUUGGAAGGCCGAGGCCAGUGGAUCACCUGAGAUGGACUCAACGACUCUCUUACCGUCCAGCUCUCAAGUCCCUUCUCUUGUGAAAAUGGAAAAGUUGAACUACAGUUGAGAUAUUAUUCCCAGGUGUUCUUUGGAACACAGGGGAUUUCUCCAAAAGGCACAGAACAAAUUGCCUCCAAACAGCCAAGAUUCCAGCAGAAGCUGGAGUAGCAGACUACUUGGAUCUUCAAAGUACCUGGCCCUGAGUCAGUUAAGGAAGAUCUUUUCUUCUCUUUUGUACAAUCCUAUGAUGAGAGCUGCAAAGUGAACUGACUAAGAGCUUCUGCCUUGAUCAUUGACCUCCCAAUCCUAAUAAUAUGUUCACUGGCCAAACUUCCUAAUCGAUUUGUCUUUUGGAUAUAACGUUCCUCCUACUGUUUGCCUGAUUGAGAAAUCUGCUACAGAACAUGACCGGUUAGCAUUCCCACCAACCCCAGUGCUACACUGACUGUCUUUCGAUGGACUUUGCUCCUUGCUGCCUCUCUGAGGUCCCAGACCUUCAGAGUGACCUUCACAGCUCUGCCUAACUUUCUGUCAUACUUCUAUCAAGAGAGACAGCUAAAUCAAUAUUUUUAAUGUGCUUUGCUGUCGGAAUUCGAUGAUCUGUCACAGUUCUUGCCCAAUACACCCCAUCAUUAUUGUUAAAAUGUUUUUAGCUUUGUUUGUAGAAUUGCUUUAACUGGUUUCAUCUCUGGGAGCUACACUUUGAAAUAUAACUUUAGCAACAUUUUACUAUACUUUUUCACAACCCAGAGCAGUACUAUUUUAUGCUUAGUGGUUAAACUAAUUCCAUAAAUCUUUUGCAACUAUCCUCUAUUCUUUUUCUUGUAAUUUUUACCUGGGAAGGUUUUUACUGAUAAUCAUCCUAUCCUGAGUCAUCCCACAAACCAAUCUGUCUCACUAAUCAUUGCUUCUAACCUACAGACUAAGCAUAACUUCUGCUAAAUGAUCUUUGAUAAGAUGCUAUGACUCUAUAAAGUCUUUGAUAUUCAUGUCUAAAUUUAAUCACUUGUAGAUUUUCAUAGAAUCAAUCUUUCACUUCUACAAUUGGGAGUAUUUAUAAGUUGUUUAUCUUAAACAGUUCCUCUAUCACGCUUUUCACGUUAAAUAAAGCAAUCCCUUCAAAUCAA
Molecule: long non-coding RNA, 1827 nt
Filed under: Homo sapiens (human)
Lineage: Eukaryota; Metazoa; Chordata; Mammalia; Primates; Hominidae
Description: hepatic lncRNA metabolic regulator 1 (HLMR1)
Source: RNAcentral